RNAcentral lists this ribosomal RNA (468 nucleotides) under uncultured bacterium. RNAcentral describes it as "partial 16S ribosomal RNA". It matches the Rfam family "Bacterial small subunit ribosomal RNA", at positions 28 to 507 of the family's 1533-position model. The record is from RNAcentral.
GACGAACGCUGGCGGCGUGCUUAACACAUGCAAGUCGAACGGAAAGGCCCUGCUUUUGUGGGGUGCUCGAGUGGCGAACGGGUGAGUAACACGUGAGUAACCUGCCCUUGACUUAGGGAUAACUUCAGGAAACUGGGGCUCAUACCGGAUAGGAGCUCCUGCUGCAUGGUGGGGGUUGGAGAGUUUCGGCGGUUGGGGAUGGAAUCGCGGCUUAUCCGCUUGUUGGUGGGGUAGUGGCUUACCAAGGCUUUGACGGGUAGCCGGCCUGAGAGGGUGACCGGCGACAUUGGUCCUGAGAUACGGACCAGACGCCUACGGGAGGCAGCAGUGGGGAAUAUUGCACAAUGGGCGGAAGCCUGAUGCAGCAACGUCGCGUGCGGGAUGACGUCCUACGGGUUGUAAACCGCUUUCGCCGGUGACGAAGCGGGAUUGACGGUAAUGGGUAAAGAAGCACCGGCUAACUACGUG